CGGCCGCGCCUUAAAGGGGCAACGCAGCCGGUGGGUCCCACCCCCGCCGCUCUCGGUGCGGCUGCGGGACAGACGGACGGACAGACCGCCCACCCCCGGGCGGGGAUAGCGGGGGGCGCCUGCAUGCACGGAUCCUGCCCCCGGGGGUGCUGAACCCAUCGGUGCACGGCCACUCCCGGGGCACCCCCCUCUCCGUGGGACCAAACCCCCAGUGAGGCCCAGGACAGCCCCUCAAGGUGCAGGACAGGAGGGAGCAGCUCCCACCUUCUCACGCAAGAAGGCCAGAAGAAGCUUGCAAAGGACCCAAACCCCCAAGCCCCCACAUCCUACGAAGGUCAAACAUUUCAACGCUGUGUGAACGCAGAGGAGGGUUCAGGUCAAAGCUGACCCGGUCACUUCCAGCGGAGCCGGGAGGUGGGCUGGGGGGUCCCCGGCUCUGCCUGUGCCGCUCUUGGCUGGCGGUGCAGAUCUGCUCGUAAAGCCAGCCUUCCUCGCUGUCACCUCCUCCUCCUCCUCGCCGCGCUGCCCCGCAGCACGCAGACACUCCUCCCAGCGCGUCGGCUCUUGCAGUUCCAAAAUGGAGUUUUACGACGCCAAAACAAAUCAUUCCUGCUUUUGCCCAGAAAAAGCCACUUUUCACCCUCAGCGCUUUCAGGCGUUUCCAAGGGGGAGGCUCACCAGAGCCCAGCCGGACCGAAACCGGCACUUCCGAACAGCAUCUUCCCCCUCGCCGUGGGGCAGGGGCUCAGCCCGUGGCUGGAAGCGGCGAUCAGAACAUUCCUGGCAGGAUGAGGCUGGGAUGCUUGGUGAGGAUCGGAGGGUUUCGUUUUGCCCAGUGAGGACCAGUUAGUGUCACAGACACAGACCGACCGCCCAGGGCUCGAUCCAGCACGUGCACAAAUCCCGAGUUACCGUUGUGCCAUCUGGCCCUCGACGAUACAAACGCACACGCUGCGCAUGGAAACCCGAGCUGAAAAAAAGAAACCCCGUAUUUUCACCCUGCCUUCAAGCUGGGUUCAUCCUCGAGCAGGAACCGCGUCCUUCUUUCCUCUCUCCUCCCAAACCAGCGACUCCAGAGCACGAGCUGUUCCUUCGCCUUGCUGCAAGAUCACCGUGAGCCGAAAGACGACGUGUGCGGCUGCGGGGAACUGCCAGUACCAGGAGACACCGAGGUGUGGUGGGACUUGCUCCUUCCCAGGCUGCUGAGUGAUGCUCCAACGGCUUUGUUUUUAUCCGGAAUCCGGGACAGAAAUAUUCUGGCAAGAUUCAAAUUGGCAAUCUAAAUCUUCCCUUUCUCCUCCCAGAGGGUAGCGAUCCACCGGCUUUUUCGUGCUAUCCUGGCGUUAUUUAAAUAAACUUAUGAAUGCAUUAAAGUAUUUCAGGAGGAACACGGGGUUGAAUUUCUGGUUUUGGAAUUGCAGAGCAAGCACAAGUGCAGCUUGCAGCCCGUUCCGUGGCGUGAGGCAGGACACAGGCAUCUUGUUUAAUCUUCAGCUUGCUUACUUGGGGGGGGGGGGGGACAAGUUUUUAUGACAGAACACACCCAACAGAUGAAAAUCAGCGGGUAAGUGAGCGCAGAGAGCAGCAAUUCCGGGGCGAGAUGGGCUGAAGGGGCCUUUGUGUCUUGUUUUUGCCUGGAGAAUGUGUGCCCUGUCCAACGGCAUCUGGGAGGACAUUUAAUCCAUUUGUAGCUUUGAAUUUCAAUCCAUGAAAUUCCACAUGGACUUCAUCUUCUCUUCUCCUUUCCUGCUCUCCCAUCAACCUGUUUUUUGGGGAAGAAACCGUGUUCCUGGCAGAGGAAAGGAACAGACCACAACCUUGUCUCGAGCGGCCUCACCAAUACACGAGUGGUGCAGAAGAAGUUUUAUCUCAAAACCGAUCUACUCGAAAGAAGAGGCAGACCCAACAGUUUGUCCAUUUGUUUAUUGUCAUUCAAAUACUAAAAAUCCCUCACAAUACAAUAUACAGUUAUUGAUUUCAGAUUCUUCCACCAUUGAGACUGGCUAUCAGGUUUUAGUGGGAAUUUUUUUUUUUUUUUUAGUUUUUGUUUUAUUAUCAAAGAUUUAGAGUCACAAUAAAUACAAGUGACAAAAACAUACCCUGCGCUGGUGUAACGUUACUCUGUUACACUCCUUUGUUAGGUGAUUAUAAACUUUUUUUUAUCUUCUUUUAAAAAAAGCACGAUGCAAAUUAUUUCGCUAAAUGCAAUAUACAGCAUAACUCUGCCUUAAGCAGACAAACACUACUGCGGUUCCUUGAGGUCUUUUUGCAUUUUAUAUAUAUAUAUAUAUAUAUAUUUUUAUAUAUAUAUAUAUAUUUAUUAUUUAAAAAAAAAUGCCUUCUGUGCCCCCUCCUCCUUCCAAAAGGAGGAAGUGAGAAAUGAGCCAAAAUAGGGUUUCUGACGAGACCUGCCUAAGCCUGCUCUGCUCUACUCCUGUAGCCCAACUCCCCCAUUUUCCAUUCUGAACUGUAUUUUGGUAAAUUUUCUUUUUUUUUCCUUAGUAAGCAAAAAAAUGUGACCACUAGGCUCUGAGAAUUCCAAGGUAAAGGAAUGGUUCUCUAAAAUGAUGAUAAAAAUAUCUAUAGAAAAAAUCCCGACCCCAAGCUAUCUCGAAUUUAAGAUUCACCAAGAGUCUCCCUAUUACAGCUGGAAUGCCAUGUACAGGAACCCCUAGAAUACAAAAAUUAGCAAAGUCACCCUUUACAAGAACUGGAAACGCUGUCCAAGUCAUCUGUGCUAGAAAAAUAACAAGUUCAACCAGGCCACUUGUGUUUCUGAGCAAAGGACUGCAACCUCGCCAACGCUCAGAAAUCAGCUAAUAAAUUAGGUUAUAUAAAAAAAUAAAAUUAAAAAAACCACACAGCUCCCAAAUUGCAACACGGGUUUCAAAUGAAAAUCCGGGGUUUAUUUCACAAGUUGCUAAAAUCUAAGUACAAUAGUCAUUUUCAUUAUUACUGUAUUAUAAAAUCUUGUAGUCGCAACGUCUCAAAGAAAGGUUAUAUGGCUUGCAAGAACCAACGCUGCUCUAACCCUCUCCCCAGGAGAGGGGGGAAGCAAGCAGCAUCUGAGCAAUGUCAAACCAGCUCAUGCAGCAGUUUGCAGCGAAGCAGUGGAGGGUCGGGGAAACGGGACAUGAUGCCGGAUACUCCACCUGAAUGAUACCGAUUUACGGGUUAGACUGUCGAGCAGCACGUUCAGUCUCUUGUUCUGAGGGAGCUUUAAGUAAAAUGGUCUUUUUUUCCGGGAGAGGGCCGAUGAGGUGACUUUCGGACAGCUCUGCGGCAGAACUAAUAGCCCUUACGGAGGCAGGAAUCCCAAACAUGACAGCAGUAGAAAUAAACCAAAGAUUUGUUCUUUAAAGCGAGCCUAAACCCCCCUCCUUCACACAAUUCCCCAAAAAUUUAACCUCUAGGGCGUAGUAACACCAUUAUGUGAAUAGUCCAUCUAAUUGAGCUUUUCUGUUUGCUUGUUGGUUUUUCAGGGUUUUUUUUCCCUGCAAGAAGGGGCACAUACAGAUGGGGAGGGGGAGAUUUGGAAAGGCUGUAACAAGUGUUUUAAGGACUAUCUAAACCUAGCGUGGUGCCUCAACUAGCCCAGUUCAACACUACUCAACUGAAUAUGCAGUUUUGACUACAAAGGAAGAAGCCAUUCUUCUGGCAUUUAACACAUGUAUACCACUUAAGUCUUUUCCUGGUGCAUUUAUCUAAAACUCUGCAGAAACACAUAUGCAAUAAAUAUAUCCUCUAACUUACGUGCAACACUCCAAGAACCACAGAUUAAAAACAAUGUCAAAACGGGUUUGAAUCCCGACAGCCUUAUAGCCACGUAGCACUUUCUGUUCACUUACAAAACCUUCAGAAUAAUUCUGUCUCAAUACCUAAGGUAGUAUUCGUGGGUUUUAUUCUACAUUAAAUGAAAACAGAGUGUGGUCUGGCAACAUUCUGUUUCUAAGACAGUGUGUGCAGACUCAUUUUUAUUUUCAGUUCCAAAUCUUAAAAUAAGUCUUCUCAAUUAUUUUAAGGCUUAUUUUAAGUCUCCCCUAUCCAUUGUGCUGAAAUGAAAAUUUACAAGCUGCUGUACUGAACUGGCGGUAUCCAAAAAAGUUUUGACAUGGCUUUUAUAACAGGCAAGUUUAAUACUUCUGCCUCUCUUUCCAUUCCUCUUCCUUCCAGCAUCAGCUGAAGCUAAAGCCACCCCAACACUGGAAAGAAAUUGUGAAGCUGUCCAGCCUUCCCAAAAAGGCAUUUGGAUUUUUAGUUUGAGAAGUUUUGCUUGUUCUUUUUAAACAAAUGCACUCUUCCCAGGUGAUUUAACAGUGCUAGACAUUUGCAUCAAUGAUGAGAUAAUGCAGGCAAUUUAUGACAAGAGAGAAAAAAAACCCCAAAAAAACUCCACACAAGUAAGGAGCUGAAACUUUUUCUUAAUAUUUCAAGGUGCAAAAAUAAAAUGCACUCAAUUUCUCUCUCCACAUCUCCCAAUCCAAAAUAUCUUGGAAUGAAAAGAAAAAUUAAAAACUCAAACCAAUUCCUCUCAUUCCCAUUUAGCUCUUAAUAUACAUUUGUAAAACAAACAAAAAACAAAGUCAAAUUGAAAUUCUAGGGCUUUAUACAGCAACAAAUACCAUUUUGCAAAACUAGGUUUUCUAUACUACCGAACAGUUUUCAAAGUAUCUAAAUACUGAUAUUCACACAACAGAAGAGGGGCUAAAACGGAACGAGUUUUCUUCUUCACUAUGCAAUAGUUAGAUCCGAAGGGGGACAACCCUAUACAGUUAUUGGUUUAAAGUUAGAUCUAACAGUAACUGCUAAGAAAAUAGAUUCAGCAUAGACUGAAUAGUAACCCCUUCCCCCUUUUCUUUUAUAUAUAGAUAUAUAGAUAUAUAUAUAUAAUUUUGCAAAUAAUUCUUAUCAGCACUACUUCUAGUACUGAUAUGCAACAUAAGUAGUAAGGCAUGUAUUUCUGCCACUUGAAUUCAACUUUAAUUUGGGAGAAGCACAGGGAAGGAGGAGGGAAGAUGAUGAGAAAAAAAAAAAAAACAAACAACAAAACAAAACAAAAAACCAAAA
This is a long non-coding RNA of Tyto alba (common barn owl), 5067 nucleotides long. RefSeq lists it as uncharacterized. The record is from RefSeq and is a predicted model, not a curated record. The transcript has 3 exons. NCBI's taxonomy places the organism in Eukaryota, Metazoa, Chordata, Aves, Strigiformes, Tytonidae.